UCCGGUUUGUCACCGGCAGUCAGCUUAGAGUGCCCACCAUUACGUGCUGGCAACUAAGCUCAAGGGUUGCGCUCGUUGCGGGACUUAACCCAACAUCUCACGACACGAGCUGACGACAACCAUGCACCACCUGUCUCCUCUGUCCCGAAGGCCGCCUCUAUCUCUAGAGGAUUCAGAGGGAUGUCAAGACCUGGUAAGGUUCUUCGCGUUGCUUCGAAUUAAACCACAUACUCCACUGCUUGUGCGGGUCCCCGUCAAUUCCUUUGAGUUUCAGUCUUGCGACCGUACUCCCCAGGCGGAGUGCUUAAUGUGUUAACUUCGGCACCGAGGGGUGGACCCCCCCAACACCUAGCACUCAUCGUUUACGGCGUGGACUAC
This 378-nucleotide unclassified non-coding RNA is filed under the name uncultured Paenibacillaceae bacterium. RNAcentral describes it as "contains 16S-23S intergenic spacer region". Lineage: Bacteria; Bacillati; Bacillota; Bacilli; Caryophanales; Paenibacillaceae. The record is from RNAcentral.